This is a non-coding RNA of Kogia breviceps (pygmy sperm whale), 1066 nucleotides long. Lineage: Eukaryota; Metazoa; Chordata; Mammalia; Artiodactyla; Physeteridae. The record is from RefSeq and is a predicted model, not a curated record.
AUGGCGCGGCGGUGGCGCUGACCCAGGCCCGGGCGGCGGCCGGGCCCCGCGGGCCGGCAUGGCGGGCCAGUUCCGCAGCUACGUGUGGGACCCGUUGCUGAUCCUGUCGCAGAUCGUCCUCAUGCAGACCAUGCAUUACGGCUCGCUGGGCCUGUCAGGCUGGCGCCGGUGGACGGGCUGGUGCGCAGCAGCCCCUCGCUGGACCAGAUGUUCUAUGCUGAGAUCCUGGGCUUUUCCACCCCUCCAGGCCGGCUCUCCACGACGUCUUUCGUCCUCAACGCCCUCACCUGUGCCCUGGGCUUGCUGUACUUCAUCCGGCGAGGGAAGCGGUGUCUGGAUUUCACUGUCACUGUCCAUUUCUUUCACCUCCUGGGCUGCUGGUUCUACAGCUCCCUUUUCCCCUCCGCGCUGAGCUGGUGGCUGGUCCAGGCCGUGUAUAUUGCACUCAUGGCUAUCAUCGGGGAGUACCUGUGCAUGCGGUCGGAGCUCAAGGAGAUACCCCUCAACUCAGCCCCGAAGUCCAGUGUCUAGAGUAGGGUCCUUUGGACACCCAGCUGGGCACUUGACACCUUGGGCUGCUCCGACUGUCCAGAUGAGGUCCAGCCCAGGCCUGAGAGGAACCCGGGAAAUGUGAAGUCUCUGUUGGUGUGGGAGAGAGAGUGAGGCCCCGUCAAGAAGGCAGGUAGCAGGCAGGAUCACAGCUGCAAGUACGGCCUCUGUCCACUGAAGCCUUGGUAUCUGGGAGGUCGGCAAGGGGGACCUCUUUCAGGGUAGUAACAGAAUCAGAACCAUGUCACUCUUGAGCCACCAUACCUGUCACCAGCCUGUUAUUUUAAAAAGGAAAAAAUAAUAAUAAUCAAGGAUAUCUGAUCACAGCGAACCACUCUUCUAGCCAUCUAUCUUACCUCCCUGGGACAGCUGUGAGCUUUGCCAUGCUGCUGAAGUGCAGCUAUUCUGUUUGGAGCAACACUUGGUUUCUGGAUCCAGAGCCACAGAAAGAGAUGUAGGCGCAAAGUAGCAGGCUGCUGUCAGGGAGAGGACCGCAGGUGGGGCAUCAAGCGGAAAG